CCAGACUCUGCCCACCUGGUACCUUUUCCAACCUGCUAGGGCAGAGCAUGGUUUCUGAGUGCCAGCUUUGUCCUUCUGGAUUUUAUUGUGAAGGUUCUGGCCUCAGUGCCCCCACUGGAGAGUGCUGGGAAGGUUAUUACUGUGACAGCAGCCAAGGGCCAGUCAGUGAUUUCACCCUUUACCCAUGCCCGCAGGGCUUUUACUGCCCACCCGGAACACACCAGGGCACUCAAUACAGCUGUCCCUCAGGUACCUUUGGUCCCAGGCAGAAGCUGAAGAGUAUCCAGGAAUGUCAGAGAUGCCCACUUGGAAAAUACUGUGAGUUUCCUGGUCUCCCAGCCCCAACAGGGGCCUGCUCUGAAGGAUUCUGGUGUAAGGGAGGUGCCCGAGUAAGAGACCCAAUGGAUGGAGUAACAGGGCUCCCUUGUCCUCCUGGGCAUUAUUGUCUUGCAGGAACACCCACUCCAUCUCUGUGCCCACAUGGCACCUGGUCCAGCAACGAAGGGAAUAAGAACCUGCGGGGAUGCCAGCCUUGUCCUGGAGGACAUUACUGCAAUAGCACUGGACUGGUAGUGCCAUCAGGACACUGCAGCUCAGGGUAGGUACAGUACGGCACACAUUUCUCUUCUGUAACUAUAAUGAGGGACAGCAGCAGCUAUCUCUUGGAAUGAGCUGAGGGCUGUGAGCUAGGACAUCCUGGAUUCUGAUUCUCAGGUCUGACAUGAAUUACCCACAACUCCUCACUUGAAGGGACCACACUCUCUUGGACCCUGGGUAGGAACAGCUGUCUGCAGUCAGUGUGCCUUUGUUGUCAACCCAGGGCUUGGGAUCUGCAGAAAUGCUCCUUCCUAGGUAUAAAGAGGAACCAGCAGCCUUGUGUGUUGAGCGCUCGGCAUUCCUCACGCUCACUGCUCAGUCAGUUAUCCACCUGUGUCCUUAGGGGGAUUGUUUCUUUGACUUGAGGUUGUUGGUGUUUGAUGGCUCUUGCUUCUGCUCUUGCUACUCCAGGUUUUACUGCAUUGCGGGGGCCAGAACACCAACACCCACUGAUGGCGUCUCAGGAGCUCCAUGCCCCGUGGGACACUCCUGUCCCCUGGGAACCCAAGAAUCCCAUCCCCUGCUCCCCUGGCACUUACAUGCCACAGACACAUGGAGAAGAGUGCUACACCUGCCCAGAGGGUAAAUACUGUGUCCCUCCUCAGAUGCCACAAUUUUGUCCUAAAGGUGAGUCGUAC
Molecule: long non-coding RNA, 1235 nt
Filed under: Chrysemys picta bellii (western painted turtle)
Lineage: Eukaryota; Metazoa; Chordata; Testudines; Emydidae
Description: lncRNA (ENSCPBG00000017717.1)
Source: RNAcentral